RNAcentral lists this ribosomal RNA (440 nucleotides) under uncultured bacterium. RNAcentral describes it as "partial 16S ribosomal RNA". It matches the Rfam family "Bacterial small subunit ribosomal RNA", at positions 338 to 795 of the family's 1533-position model. The record is from RNAcentral.
CCUACGGGCGGCAGCAGUGGGGGAUAUUGCACAAUGGGGGAAACCCUGAUCCAGCAACGCCGCGUGAGUGAAGAAGGUCUUCGGAUUGUAAAGCUCUGUUCUUGAUGAAGAUAAUGACGGUAGCCAAGGAGAAAGCUCCGGCUAACUACGUGCCAGCAGCCGCGGUACUACGUAGGGAGCGAGCGUUGUCCGGAUUUACUGGGUGUAACGGGUGCGCAGGCGGCUCUGCAAGUCAGGCGUGAAAGCUAGGGGCUCAAACCAUAAAUUGCGCUUGAAACUGGGGGGCUUGAGUGAGGUAGAGGCAGGCGGAAUUCCAGGUGUAGCGGUGAAAGGCGUAGAGAUCGGGAGGAACACCAGUGGCGAAGGCGGCCUGCUGGGCUGUAACUGACGCUCAGGCACGAAAGCAUGGGUAGCAAACAGGAUUAGAUACCCGAGUAGUC